This 292-nucleotide ribosomal RNA is filed under the name uncultured bacterium. Its description in RNAcentral is "partial 16S ribosomal RNA". It matches the Rfam family "Bacterial small subunit ribosomal RNA", at positions 505 to 796 of the family's 1533-position model. The record is from RNAcentral.
GUGUCAGCAGCCGCGGUAAUACAGAGGGGGCAAGCGUUAUUCGGAAUUAUUGGGCGUAAAGGGCGCGUAGGCGGCCUGGCAAGUGGAAGGUGAAAUCCCUCGGCUUAACCGAGGAACUGCCCUCCAAACUGCUUGGCUUGAGUCCGGGAGAGGUGAGUGGAAUUCCCAGUGUAGCGGUGAAAUGCGUAGAUAUUGGGAGGAACACCAGUGGCGAAGGCGGCUCACUGGACCGGAACUGACGCUGAGGCGCGAAAGCGUGGGGAGCAAACGGGAUUAGAAACCCUAGUAGUCC